GACGAACGCUGGCGGCGUGCUUAACACAUGCAAGUCGAACGGAAAGGCCCUGCUUUUGUGGGGUGCUCGAGUGGCGAACGGGUGAGUAACACGUGAGUAACCUGCCCUUGACUUUGGGAUAACUUCAGGAAACUGGGGCUAAUACCGGAUAGGAGCUCCUGCUGCAUGGUGGGGGUUGGAAAGUUUCGGCGGUUGGGGAUGGACUCGCGGCUUAUCAGCUUGUUGGUGGGGUAGUGGCUUACCAAGGCUUUGACGGGUAGCCGGCCUGAGAGGGUGACCGGCCACAUUGGGACUGAGAUACGGCCCAGACUCCUACGGGAGGCAGCAGUGGGGAAUAUUGCAUAAUGGGCGGAAGCCUGAUGCAGCAACGCCGCGUGCGGGAUGACGGCCUUCGGGUUGUAAACCGCUUUCGCCUGUGACGAAGCGUGAGUGACGGUAAUGGGUAAAGAAGCACCGGCUAACUACGUGCCAGCAGCCGCGGUGAUACGUAGGGUGCGAGCGUUGUCCGGAUUUAUUGGGCGUAAGGGCUCGUAGGUGGUUGAUCGCGUCGGAAGUGUAAUCUUGGGGCUUAACCCUGAGCGUGCUUUCGAUACGGGUUGACUUGAGGAAGGUAGGGGAGAAUGGAAUUCCUGGUGGAGCGGUGGAAUGCGCAGAUAUCAGGAGGAACACCAGUGGCGAAGGCGGUUCUCUGGGCCUUUCCUGACGCUGAGGAGCGAAAGCGUGGGGAGCGAACAGGCUUAGAUACCCUGGUAGUCCACGCUGUAAACGGUGGGUACUAGGUGUGGGGUCCAUUCCACGGGUUCCGUGCCGUAGCUAACGCUUUAAGUACCCCGCCUGGGGAGUACGGCCGCAAGGCUAAAACUCAAAGGAAUUGACGGGGCCCCGCACAAGCGGCGGAGCAUGCGGAUUAAUUCGAUGCAACGCGUAGAGCCUUACCUGGGUUUGACAUGGAUCGGGAGCGCUCAGAGAUGGGUGUGCCUCUUUUGGGGUCGGUUCACAGGUGGUGCAUGGCUGUCGUCAGCUCGUGUCGUGAGAUGUUGGGUUAAGUCCCGCAACGAGCGCAACCCUUGUUCACUGUUGCCAGCACGUUAUGGUGGGGACUCAGUGGAGACCGCCGGGGUCAACUCGGAGGAAGGUGGGGAUGACGUCAAGUCAUCAUGCCCCUUAUGUCCAGGGCUUCACGCAUGCUACAAUGGCUGGUACAGAGAGUGGCGAGCCUGUGAGGGUGAGCGAAUCUCGGAAAGCCGGUCUCAGUUCGGAUUGGGGUCUGCAACUCGACCUCAUGAAGUCGGAGUCGCUAGUAAUCGCAGAUCAGCAACGCUGCGGUGAAUACGUUCCCGGGGCU
Molecule: ribosomal RNA, 1345 nt
Filed under: uncultured bacterium
Lineage: Bacteria
Description: bacterial SSU rRNA
Rfam family: Bacterial small subunit ribosomal RNA
Source: RNAcentral